Molecule: long non-coding RNA, 1745 nt
Filed under: Olea europaea (common olive)
Lineage: Eukaryota; Viridiplantae; Streptophyta; Magnoliopsida; Lamiales; Oleaceae
Description: long non-coding RNA (OEUR_LNC003767)
Source: RNAcentral
AUACGUUUCCUCCUGAAAUCUUUACCACAAUUACGAACCAUCUAGGUUAUAAAAGUCAAAAUUCACUUACCAAUUUUGUUCGAACAAUCGAAUUACCCCUUCAUUUUUUACUUUCUCGUUUUUAUAUUUAUCUUGCAAGAACAAUCAAACAAUGGUGCGAACGGUAAAGAAGGAAUUGAUGGACAAUCGAGCACCAGAAUGCAGAAUGCUACAGUCGAAAUAUCUCACCUUUAAGAAUCAGAUUAGCAGUAAUUUGAUUUCACAUCAUUUUAGUAAUUUCUUUGGUUUUUUUUUCCAUAUUCUUUUUUUUUCAUAUUUGUUUAGUUUGAUUAAUUUGUAUUUAGCGAAGAGAUUAAUGAAAGCGCUUAUUGCAAAAAUCUCUAUAUUUCGUUCUGUUUUGUCUUCAUAUAUUGUAAAAAAUUGUGUGUUUUAAUCUUUAAUUUAAUUUUCUUCCAAAAUGGGUGCUUUUGGGAAGUGGAUAAAAUCACUCGUUGGUCUGAAAAAAUGGGGAUCAAAUGACUCUAUAAGCUAAUAAUCUUUCUAUUAUCUUUAUAUGAUUUUUUUUUUUUUUGAUGUUUUAAGCAAUGAUUUUUAUAUUGAAUUGUGUUGAGCCUAAUAAUCUUUGUAUUAUCUUUAUAUGAUUUUUUUGGUGUUUAAUUAAUGAUUUUUAUAUUGAACUAUGUUGAGCUUAAUUCAUAUCUAAUGAUGUGUUUGGUUGGGCUUAAUAGUUGUUGUUGACUUCUUGUUGCCUUUUUGGUUUAAUGAUUGUUAUUGUUGUGUCGUCCACAAGUUGCUCGCCGAAAAUGCCUGCUCGAUUUGUGCUAGACUGAUAGGGUUCGUCUUGAAACAAGUACGAGCCGCCCACGGGUCGAGUCCCAAUGGUCGAGCUGAUGAUAUCACUGUUUAGCCCGUGCUUCCAAAUUCUUGGAUCUGCCCGUGGACGGAAGAAGUAGGUAUUGAUAUCAGAAACAACAGAGCUGAAUUAGACGUUUUAUUUUCAGAAUUAUAGGUGGCAAAAACAGAGGUGGUUUCCAAUUUCGUUUUACAAGUUAGUUGUCUCAUUUUUAUUUACUUAUGGCAAGAAUAUUGCAAUUCAUUUCUCCUUUCUCUGAACUUUGCUGGUAUAUCUUAGAUCUUUGUCUGAUUAGAAGUUCGCAUUUCCUCGUGUUGAAUAUUAUUGUAUUUGGUUCAAUCUUUGAUGGUUUUCAAUAAGACACUUUGCUUCGGAUGAAUGCUUUCAUAAUUUUAGUGUAUUUUUAGCUGAAGGAACAUUAAUUUACGAAUGGUACAUUAAUUUUCUGUACAGAAUGCAAAAGAACUUGUAUGUAUUAGAUCAAUUUAGAAACUUGAAACCAUGAACAAAGAUUCAUAUCAGUGAUUCCGCUCGUAAGUCGGAAAUUUCUCCUAAUUUCAAGGGAUCUUACAGAUUGAUCAGUAAUUGGUCAAUCUAGAUAGUGGCUGCACGAAAUAAGACUGUUACUUAACCAAGUCAGAAGAUCUUUUUAUCUUUAUGAAUACGAUCACUUAAUAUUUCUUAGUUAUGACACCUGUCUUUGAUGCUUUUACAGGAGUACGAACAUGCUUACUCAUGUUCUUGAAUUGAGGCCGUUGACAUGUCGAAUGAUUUUCUUCUAACGAGAAGGCAGGUGAUUGUUAAAGAAUUAGCGUGUGAAUUAUCAAGACUGCACAGCACAAAAUCUGGCCUGUGGAGCAUGAGAUUUAGCCGAUCUUCCCCCACCACCAAG